UACGAAGGGGGCUAGCGUUGCUCGGAAUCACUGGGCGUAAAGCGCACGUAGGCGGCUUCUUAAGUCAGGGGUGAAAUCCUGGAGCUCAACUCCAGAACUGCCUUUGAUACUGGGAGUCUCGAGUCCGGGAGAGGUGAGUGGAACUGCGAGUGUAGAGGUGAAAUUCGUAGAUAUUCGCAAGAACACCAGUGGCGAAGGCGGCUCACUGGCCCGGUACUGACGCUGAGGUGCGAAAGCUAGGGGAGCAAACGGG
Molecule: ribosomal RNA, 253 nt
Filed under: uncultured bacterium
Lineage: Bacteria
Description: partial 16S ribosomal RNA
Rfam family: Bacterial small subunit ribosomal RNA
Source: RNAcentral